This 163-nucleotide ribosomal RNA is filed under the name Heptapleurum hypoleucum. Its description in RNAcentral is "Schefflera hypoleuca 5.8S ribosomal RNA". It matches the Rfam family "5.8S ribosomal RNA". Rfam says of the family: 5.8S ribosomal RNA (5.8S rRNA) is a component of the large subunit of the eukaryotic ribosome. It is transcribed by RNA polymerase I as part of the 45S precursor that also contains 18S and 28S rRNA. The record is from RNAcentral. Lineage: Eukaryota; Viridiplantae; Streptophyta; Magnoliopsida; Apiales; Araliaceae.
AACGACUCUCGGCAACGGAUAUCUCGGCUCUCGCAUCGAUGAAGAACGUAGCGAAAUGCGAUACUUGGUGUGAAUUGCAGAAUCCCGUGAACCAUCGAGUCUUUGAACGCAAGUUGCGCCCGAAGCCAUUAGGUUGAGGGCACGUCUGCCUGGGCGUCACGUA